AGCUGAUCAUUGGGUAUAAAGCGUGCGCAGGCGGUUUUGUAAGACAGAGGUGAAAUCCCCGGGCUCAACCUGGGAACUGCCUUUGUGACUGCAAGGCUGGAGUGCGGCAGAGGGGGAUGGAAUUCCGCGUGUAGCAGUGAAAUGCGUAGAUAUGCGGAGGAACACCGAUGGCGAAGGCAAUCCCCCUGGGCCUGCACUGACGCUCAUGCACGAAAGCGUGGGGAGCAAACA
RNAcentral lists this ribosomal RNA (231 nucleotides) under uncultured Alicycliphilus sp. RNAcentral describes it as "partial 16S ribosomal RNA". It matches the Rfam family "Bacterial small subunit ribosomal RNA", at positions 550 to 774 of the family's 1533-position model. Lineage: Bacteria; Pseudomonadati; Pseudomonadota; Betaproteobacteria; Burkholderiales; Comamonadaceae. The record is from RNAcentral.